RNAcentral lists this ribosomal RNA (253 nucleotides) under uncultured bacterium. RNAcentral's name for it is "partial 16S ribosomal RNA". It matches the Rfam family "Bacterial small subunit ribosomal RNA", at positions 524 to 776 of the family's 1533-position model. The record is from RNAcentral.
UACGAGAGGCCCAAACGUUAUUCGGAAUUACUGGGCUUAAAGAGUUCGUAGGCGGCGCAGAAAGUAGGGUGUGAAAGCCCUCGGCUCAACCGAGGAAUUGCGCUCUAAACUACUGUGCUUGAGGAACCUAGAGGUGAGCAGAACUGAUGGUGGAGCGGUGAAAUGCGUUGAUAUCAUCAGGAAUACCGGAGGCGAAGGCGGCUCACUGGGGGUUUUCUGACGCUGAGGAACGAAAGCCAGGGUAGCGAACGGG